This 550-nucleotide long non-coding RNA is filed under the name Homo sapiens (human). Its description in RNAcentral is "HSALNT0377381". The record is from RNAcentral. Lineage: Eukaryota; Metazoa; Chordata; Mammalia; Primates; Hominidae.
GAGCCCUUGGGCCGCUGCUCUGGCCGCUCCCACGCUGUGGAGCGUACUUUCAUUUGCAAUAAAUCUCUGCAUUUGUUCUUUCGCUGCAUCAUUCUUUCCUUGCUCUGCUGUACAUUUUGUCCAAUUCUUUGUUCAAAACGCCAAGAACCUGGACAACAUGCAGUCAAGACCCUCCACCAGUAACAGUAACAUUCUGGAAUUUGCUGUCACCCAGGUUGCAGUACAGUUGCACCACCCUAGCUCACUGGAGCUUCCUGGGCUCAAGUGAUCCUUCCGCCUCCUUCUGCCUCUUCCUCCCAAAGUGCUGAGAUUACAGGCCUAAGUCACUGUGCUUGGCCCAUUUAUUGUUUCUUAAGGGCAAGUGAACAAGUGGGGUGGAACCAUAUAGCUGAAGGCCUUGAAUUCCCAUUGAGGGUUUUUAUUUAAUUUGCUAGUUUCUGAGGAGCCACAAAUGUUUUACGUACAGCAAUGAUCUUGUCCAAUUUUUAAAAAUAUUUGUUUAAUGUUCUAAAAUGUAACCACUUCAUUGGCUGGAGUGGUUGAACUCAUU